GCGCGGGGACUCGGUGUGGCUGCGGCGCGGAGGUUGCGGGCAGGUGGGGGAUCCGAGGCGCUGGGGUCAGGCGUGUGGGGCGCUCCCUGCGCCCACGUCCCCACUUCUCCGCCGCCCUUUGUCUCUGAGCUCCUGCUUGCCCCUUAGAGCCGUUGCCACCGCUUUUCUCCUGGUCGUUCUGCAAGGAGAAGCAGCAUUGUGGUUUCAGGAGAUGGGUCCAUUUGGAGCAGGAUCCUAAGUGGGGCUUGGCAUUGGGAAUUUGGAUUAGCUCUAGAGGACGCAGGAUCUGGAAAAUCAGGGCAGAUUUCCCAUCCCUUGGAUAUGGUGGGGAGUUGAGGAGGGCAAGGAAGAUCCCAGAAAAGCCAGUGGCAGCAAAACACAAAGGCCAGGGACCUACGUACUGGUAAAACUGAGACCUCCAAGAAACCUGCAGCUCGACCUGGUUGAAUUCAGG
RNAcentral lists this long non-coding RNA (454 nucleotides) under Homo sapiens (human). Its description in RNAcentral is "non-protein coding lnc-OR7A17-2:1". Lineage: Eukaryota; Metazoa; Chordata; Mammalia; Primates; Hominidae. The record is from RNAcentral.